AGAGUUUGAUCCUGGCUCAGAACGAACGCUGGCGGCGUGGAUAAGACAUGCAAGUCGAGCGCUGAUUACAGGGUAGCAAUAUUCUGUGGUCGGAGCGGCGCAGGGGUGCGUAACACGUGGGGUAAUCUGCCAUGAAGUCUGGAAUAACUUGCUGAAAGGCGAGCUAAUACCGGAUGUGAAAAUUGGAAGGCAUCUUUUGAUUUUCAAAGCUGGGGACCGUAAGGCCUGGCGCUUCAUGAUGAGCCCGCGGCCUAUCAGCUAGUUGGUAAGGUAACGGCUUACCAAGGCUAAGACGGGUAGCUGGUCUGAGAGGACGACCAGCCACACUGGAACUGAGACACGGUCCAGACACCUACGGGUGGCAGCAGUCGAGAAUUUUUCACAAUGGGCGCAAGCCUGAUGGAGCGACGCCGCGUGGGGGAUGAAUGGCUUCGGCCCGUAAACCCCUGUCAUUUGCGAGCAAACCUUGUUAUUUAAAAGAUGACGAGCUGAUAGUAGCGAAAGAGGAAGGGACGGCUAACUCUGUGCCAGCAGCCGCGGUAAUACAGAGGUCCCAAGCGUUGUUCGGAUUCACUGGGCGUAAAGGGUGCGUAGGUGGCGAGGUAAGUCGGAUGUGAAAGCUCGGAGCUCAACUCCGAAAUGGCAUUGGAAACUACCUUGCUCGAGGGUUGGAGGGGGGACUGGAAUGCUUGGUGUAGCAGUGAAAUGCGUAGAUAUCAAGCGGAACACCAGUGGCGAAGGCGAGUCCCUGGACAACUCCUGACACUGAGGCACGAAAGCUAGGGGAGCAAACAGGAUUAGAUACCCUAGUAGUCC
This 816-nucleotide ribosomal RNA is filed under the name uncultured bacterium. Its description in RNAcentral is "bacterial SSU rRNA". It matches the Rfam family "Bacterial small subunit ribosomal RNA", at positions 8 to 796 of the family's 1533-position model. The record is from RNAcentral.